UCAAACUUGGUCAUUUAGAGGAAGUAAAAGUCGUAACAAGGUUUCCGUAGGUGAACCUGCGGAAGGAUCAUUAAGGAAUGGGAGGGGGCGCCCGCGCGCCGGGGCCGGCCGACGCGGCCGACCGCGGCCCGGGGGUCGCCCCUCUCCCGCGCCCCCAACCCCUGUCUACCCGAUCGCGUUGCCUCGGCGGGGACGGUCGCCGCCCGACCCGCCGGGGGUUUGCCGAUAACGAUAUGUUCCUGUUUGUCUGUGAUGAUGUGAUAAUUAUUCAAAAAACUUUCAACAACGGAUCUCUUGGUUCCAGCAUCGAUGAAGAACGCAGC
This 323-nucleotide unclassified non-coding RNA is filed under the name uncultured fungus. RNAcentral's name for it is "partial contains small subunit ribosomal RNA, internal transcribed spacer 1, and 5.8S ribosomal RNA". The stretch from base 1 to 73 matches the Rfam family "Eukaryotic small subunit ribosomal RNA", at positions 1759 to 1831 of the family's 1831-position model. The record is from RNAcentral. Lineage: Eukaryota; Fungi.